RNAcentral lists this ribosomal RNA (165 nucleotides) under Limnohabitans sp. MMS-10A-160. RNAcentral describes it as "partial 16S ribosomal RNA". It matches the Rfam family "Bacterial small subunit ribosomal RNA", at positions 1 to 160 of the family's 1533-position model. The record is from RNAcentral. Lineage: Bacteria; Pseudomonadati; Pseudomonadota; Betaproteobacteria; Burkholderiales; Comamonadaceae.
AGAUCGAACUAUAGAGUUUGAUCCUGGCUCAGAUUGAACGCUGGCGGAAUGCUUUACACAUGCAAGUCGAACGGCAGCACGGACUUCGGUCUGGUGGCGAGUGGCGAACGGGUGAGUAAUAUAUCGGAACGUGCCCAGUCGUGGGGGAUAACGUAGCGAAAGUUA